RNAcentral lists this ribosomal RNA (483 nucleotides) under uncultured bacterium. RNAcentral describes it as "partial 16S ribosomal RNA". It matches the Rfam family "Bacterial small subunit ribosomal RNA", at positions 30 to 507 of the family's 1533-position model. The record is from RNAcentral.
UUGAACGCUGGCGGCAGGCCUAACACAUGCCCGUCGAGCGGAUGAAGGGAGCUUGCUCCUGGAUUCAGCGGCGGACGGGUGAGUAAUGCCUAGGAAUCUGCCUGGUAGUGGGGGAUAACGUCCGGAAACGGGCGCUAAUACCGCAUACGUCCUGAGGGAGAAAGUGGGGGAUCUUCGGACCUCACGCUAUCAGAUGAGCCUAGGUCGGAUUAGCUAGUUGGUGGGGUAAAGGCCUACCAAGGCGACGAUCCGUAACUGGUCUGAGAGGAUGAUCAGUCACACUGGAACUGAGACACGGUCCAGACUCCUACGGGAGGCAGCAGUGGGGAAUAUUGGACAAUGGGCGAAAGCCUGAUCCAGCCAUGCCGCGUGUGUGAAGAAGGUCUUCGGAUUGUAAAGCACUUUAAGUUGGGAGGAAGGGCAGUAAGUUAAUACCUUGCUGUUUUGACGGUACCAACAGAAUAAGCACCGGCUAACUUCGUG